AGCUCACUACAGGUGACCUCCAGACACUCUUGACUUCAUCUUCUUACCUUCCCCUUGAGGCUGAAUCUCUAUGUCAGAGAUCAUGAAGAUUGGGGUUGGAAAUUGCUUGUCCCUGCUUGUCCACGUGCUUGGUCACAGAACUGUCCUGGGAAAUACCCUGAUGAAUUAUUUCAAAGGCACCCAAAGUGUCCUAACUUGAUGGUAGCAGGGGAAAAUCAAGGAUCAUCUCAGUGUGACUGAAUGAAAAGCAGUAUCUGGAUCUUCAUAAAUGAUGGAAUUGAUUUGCCACACCAAUUGGUAAAGGCCUGAAGCCAUGGUUAACAGGGUUAUUUUGCUGAAAACUUGAAUCAAGAAGCACUGAAAGGGCAAGAGUCCCGACGGCCCUCGAGGCAGAUGAUUGAUUCCUGGGGCUAUGUUGGAAAGUUUGGCAGAGAAGAGACUGAACUAUGCUGUUGGGAAAUCACUUUCACUGCAGUCUGGAAAAUGGAGGGCAGGAGAGGCUACAGCCCUGGGGAAGGGGUGGUGAUGAGUCAGCUAUGAACCAGCCUCUCUGCCGUGCACCGGGAAUGUGCCAGGAGGUUAGGCUUGAGUCUCCAUCCCAUGCCAACUUUGGAGAACAAAGAUUCUUCCCUGUUUGAACUGCAGAUCCCCUCCUUUGGCUUCUUGCUAUCUCUAAAUCUGCAGACCCUGUGCAAAUGGAAUCCGCUGAGAAGGCUUUGACUAUAUAGGGUGCUGGCAGAUGCUCACACUUUCUUAUUUAGGCAAAUUGGACAAUCACAGAAAUGCAAAAAUGGGAAAGAUAGUAUGGCUUUUGACAAUGUAAGUGUGGAAAAUAAAACUGUGCUGGCUGAAAUGGUUUCUUUCUGUAGGUCUAAUACUUCUUUUAAAAAGUCUGAAAGAGCUCAUAUAUGCAAAAAAAAAAAAAAAAACAUGUAUCUCCACAUUUUUC
Molecule: long non-coding RNA, 949 nt
Filed under: Rhinopithecus bieti (black snub-nosed monkey)
Lineage: Eukaryota; Metazoa; Chordata; Mammalia; Primates; Cercopithecidae
Description: lncRNA (ENSRBIG00000046391.1)
Source: RNAcentral